UAAUCCUCAAGGUGGUGGUACCUAGAUCC
This 29-nucleotide non-coding RNA is filed under the name Homo sapiens (human). The record is from RNAcentral. Lineage: Eukaryota; Metazoa; Chordata; Mammalia; Primates; Hominidae.